This 16432-nucleotide long non-coding RNA is filed under the name Coffea arabica (coffee). RNAcentral's name for it is "long non-coding RNA (CARA_LNC002444)". Lineage: Eukaryota; Viridiplantae; Streptophyta; Magnoliopsida; Gentianales; Rubiaceae. The record is from RNAcentral.
UUCAAGUCUGUGCCACGGUUUCAAGAAAAUCUGAAGCUGCAGAUGGAAUCAGAGUUUGGACCUUGUGUUUUCGCUGGAGUUCCUGGUUCCUUCUACCAAAGGCUCUUCCCCGCCAAAAGUCUUCAUUUUUUUCACUCAUCGUAUAGUCUUCAAUGGCUAUCCCAAGUAUGUCUUCCCCAUUUUCUUUUAUAUAACAUUCAUAAUGUUUUCAUUGAUUAUAAGUAACGUUGAUUUUGCUUCUUAGGUCCCUGAAUUGGAAGAGGUUAACAAAGGAAACAUUUACAUGGCAUGUUCAAGCCCUCCAAGUGUGAUAAAGGCAUACAUCGAUCAGUUUGAGAAGGAUUUCUCGACUUUCCUGAGCUGCCGAGCAGAAGAAUUGGUAACUGGUGGCCGCAUGGUUUUGACAAUUUUGGGGAGAAAAAGUGUAGAUCCUUGUAGCAAGGAUGGUUGCUACAUUUGGGACCUUUUAGCUCUGGCCCUUAAGCAGAUGAUUUCUGAGGUACAUAUCUGAAUAUAUGUUGAAUAACCUUAGGAAAAUUGUCUAAAUUGCUUGCAAUGCACACUGGGUUUCAGCAUAGAACAAUUUUUGUUUACUUUCAAACCACUAAACAAAUUAGAAAUUAGGUUUAAUCGAGUUUUAUACAAAGAAGUUAAUACGCUUGCAAUCUUUAAACCAGACAUCCGAGUUGUCAAUCGUAGAAGUAAAAGAGUUGUACUUUUAAAUUCUCAAAUUACAAAAUGUAACUAGCAGAAGUAGAAUAAUACUCAUGAAUUCUUAAUUGUGCAUAGUACUUUAAAGAGAGGACAUAUGUUCAGAAACAAGUUAUGCGUGGUCGGAAUUGAUUGAUUUUGAGGGGUCAGAAAUUGGAAGAACCAAAUCUUACAAUUUUGAUAACAUUACUACAUAUUUAGUUAGGAUUUCUCCACAUGUUUGUAUGAUCCUCGAGUGAUUAAAGAUAUUAAUUAGACAACUUCAUGUCGACAUAACAACUUUGACCGCAUAAACAAAGUAUUUAGCAAGGAUUCUAUGGAUUGGUGCUAACAGAUCAACAUCACGAUGCAGGGCCUAAUUGAAGAAAAGAAACUAGAUUCAUUCAAUAUCCCACAAUACACACCAUCACCUGCAGAAGUAAGAUCACUUGUUGAGAUGGAAGGGUCUUUUACGGUUGAUCGUCUCGAGGCAACUGAGAUACAUUGGAAUGCACAUGAUAGUGAAUAUUUUGAAUUUGAUGAAUUCAAGGAUGGUGGCUAUAAUGUUGCCAAAUGCAUGAGAGCUGUGGCUGAACCCUUGCUUGUUAGUCACUUUGGUGAGGGAAUAAUAGAAGAAGUGUUCUCCAGGUACAAGAAAAUACUUUCUGAUCGCAUGUCCAAAGAGAAGACUCAGUUCAUCAAUGUGAUUGUCUCUUUGGCUAAAAGGGCAUGAUAAUAUGCAAUGUGUUCCCCUAAGAACCACACCUUGACAAUGGUUUGUUAUGAAAUUUCUUUGCCUAUACUUGCAAAGAAGCAGUCAAAAGGGACCCGAAAAGGGGGUCCAUUGUUAUGCUGUACUCUAGUCGUUCAUUUUUCGUGCAAUAAAAGAUUAUUGUCGAUUGCUGUUGUUGUAUUGGUAAAACAAUGUCUUUUACCAAUUUGCUUCGUAGAUGUAUUAAACAUAAUGAAAAAAAUCUUACCAUUGAUCUUUGAGAUUAUCUUUUUAUUGCCAAGGUUUAAUGGUAAAGUUUGAAACAAAUAUCCACUGCCAGAUACAUUAAGAUACAUUAAGCUUUUCUGGGAUUCAGAGUUUCAAAAUGUGUUUAUUACGUGAUAAUGAAAAUACCUCGAGAGUGUCUACCAAAAAGUCCAAUAUGUAAGUCAGAAACUCAAUUCUGACCCAAAAACUGAAACUGUUUGGUCUCGGGUCCUUAGUUUCGGGUCCUUAGUUACAUCUAAACCCUUCUUUAACCUGUAGACUUUAUUUUUUUGGCCUUUUUUCACAUAACUUGUAGGUUGCUCGACAUAUACUUUCUCUUCAAUAAUUCCAUUCAAAAAGCAGAUUUCACAACCAUUUGAUAAAUAUUUCAAGAAUUAUUGGCAGCAAUAGAUAUAAUCAUGCGAGCAGUAUCAAGUCUGGCAACUGGAACAAAAAUUUCAAAUUAAUCAAUACUUGCCUUUUGCUUGUAUCCUUUAACCACCAAUUUUACUUUGUAACGGUCUAUCUCACUAAUUGGCUUGUACUUGGUCUUGUAGAUCCACUUGACACCAAUGAACUUCUUCCUAUAUGGAAGUGUGAUCAACUCCCAUGUCUUAUUUUUCUCAAUUGCAUGUAUCUCCUCAUCCAUUAUUUGACUCCAAUGAUCACCCAUGACAGCCUCCUCAAAGGUAACUCGGUCUCAAUUUACAAAUAAAGCAAAUUUUACAAUAUCUUCAUCAAACAAUUCAUUAUCAUUACCAACAACAUAAUCUUUCAAGCGAGCUGGCAUGCAAUGUUCUCGUUGUGGACGAUUAGAUGACUGCACAAGAUUUGAUUGCACCCCAGAAAAUGAAGAAUCACCAGUGUGUUGUCUAGACUGCUCUACUGGUUGAUUAGAAGAAUUCCCUUCAUCCAAAUAAAAUGGCAUUGGUGGAUACUUUGGUGUAGAAUCUGUAACUUUUUUAGUCAAAUCCCAAACUCCUUGCUCAUCAAAUGUGACAUCUCUGCUAAUAAUCAUCUUUCCUGUAUCUGGAUUGAGCAGCAUGUGACCUUUGGUUUCAUGACUAUAACCAAGGAAAAUGCAUUUUUCUGUUUUGUCAUUAAUUUCUUCCCAAUAGCAUUUGGAACAUGGGAAUAGGCAAGACAACCAAAUACUUUUAAAUGAGAAAUAUUUGAUUUCUUACCAGUCCAUAACCCCUGUGGUGUCUUUCCGAAAUUGCAUUUGUGUAGGAGAUUUGUUAGAUACAUAUACAGUAUAAGCAACUGCAUCGGCUCAAAAAUCUUUAGGCAUGUUCUUGGCAUGCAUCAUUGAUCUCACUAUAUCCAUUAUAGUCUGAUUUUUCCUCUCUGCUAUUCUAUGCUAUUGAGUAGUGUAUCCGGUUGUCAACUAUUGUUUAAUCCCAUGUUUCUCCAAAAAAUCAUCAUAGACAGUAAAUUCAGUGCCUCUGUCAGCUCUCAAAAUUUUAAUAAAUUGGCCACUUUACUUCUCAAUAUAUACUUUAAAACUCUUAAAAAUAUCACAAGUUUCAGAUUUAUUCUUCAAAAAAUAUACCCAAAAUUUUUUGUUAAAAUCAUCAAUGAAAGUAAUAAAAUAUUUACUACCUCUAUUGGAAGGUACCUUAAUUGAGCACAGGUUUGAAUGUAACAAUUCCAACGAACGAUCAGCCCUCCAAGUCUUGUUUUUAGAAAAAGAAUCUCUGUGUUUCUUUUUCAAAAUACAAGACUCGCAAAAAAGUGCUUUGUAGAAAAAUCAAUAGAAGACAGUCCAUACACCAUAUUCUUUCUAACAAGAAAACUCAAACUCUCAAAAUUCAAGUAACCAAAAGGCAUGUGCCACAAGCAAAUAUCAUAAAAAACAACAUAACUAAAGUAACGCAAAUCAUCACAAUUAAACGUGAUAGGCCAUAAGCGCUAGUGUUCAUGUGUACCUUUGCUAUUAGUUUCAAACAAUCAUCAAUAAUAGUACCAAUGCCAUAUUUGAAUCAUAAAUCAAAUCCUUUUUUAGUAAAUUAUCCAAGACUCAGUAAAUUAUGAUGAAGGUUUGGCACAUAGAAGACAUCAGAGAUAAAAUAAGAUUUUUCAUUCUUCAAAGUAAUCUUGAUUUUUCCUUUCCCAAGUACAGGCACUCUUUCAUUGUUGCCAAACUUAACAAAAGAUCUAAAAGAUUUAUCCAAAUCAUCAAACAUAUUUUUGUCACCAUAGCAUCCGGAAUCCAAAAACUAAUUAUUCUUUUUAUUUUCUUCCACUUCUGAGUUAGAGAAUAAAAUAGUUUCAUCAUUUUCACCAUUAUUCUCUGCUAUAUUGGCAUGACCGCCUUUAUUGUUAGAAUUAUACAAGCAUUCACUUUUCUAAUGACCAAUUUUUUUUUUUUUUUUUGUAAUUAUGGCACUGAAUAUUAUGUCUGCGAGAAUCAUUAUUUUCUAACUCGUUAUUGGGAUAAUUAUUGUUACAUCUCUGUUGGUAAAAAUUACCUCUGCCACGACCUCUAAAAUUGCACGGUCUCAUCCUCUUCCUCUGAAAUUUUAAUUUUUUUGACCGGAGCCAUCACCAUUCUCUUUGGGUUUAUCUAUCUGCACCUGCAACGCUUUCGCCACCGUUUCUUUUUCUGCACCAUCUUCCAAUUUUUCAUUAAUUUUUUGUUUAUGAAGAGUUAACUAACCCUGCAAUUCUUCAAUGGUCAUAGUUGAGAGAUCUUUUGCCUCUUGAAUCCCGGCAACCACAUGAUCAAAUUUCAUGGGUAAAGUAUUGAGGGCUUUUUCUGCUAGCACCUCAUUACUAAGAUCAUAAGCAUUGUGCUCCAUCUCAUUUUUUAUGUCAAUCAGUAUGAAAAAAUAUGAUUCAAUUGUCUCUAAAUUUUUCAUAGUGAUCAACUCAAAUUUCCUUUUCAACAUCAGCAGAUUAUUUUUCUGAACUCUGUCAACUCCUUUGUAUGUUUUCGCCAAAUUAUCCCAUGCUUGUUUUGCAGUUUUGGCAUUAGCAAUUUUUUCAAAAAUCGAAGCAUCAAUUGCCUGGUGGAUUUGAGACAGCACCAUACUUCCUUGCAUCUUGACACUUCUUCUUCAUGUGCAACAAUUUCUUACUGAACAAAUUGAAACAAAUUAUACGCGUCAAGAUGAGUUUCCAUCUGCAUUCUCCAAAAACUGUAAUCUUUUUUUCCUGUGAGUUUUGGUACUACACAGGUAAUAUUACUUGGUACAAUUGAUGUAGUUGAUGCAGACAUGGCUUAUAAUAAAGCUAACUCUGAUAUCACUAUGCAGGCCCAAAAAAAUAAUCAAUAUAAGUCACAAGGCUUUCACGAUUGAAUGAAACCACGAGAAGACAAAAUAAAUCCUAAAAGACUAGAAGACAAAAUAGAGGAAAGGGGACCAGAGGCUUUUAUUAUCUCUCUGAAUCUUUUCUUUCUUUCUUACAUCGAUAGACCAAGACCUAUGGUCUAUAUAAAGACUACCAAAUACCAAAAUUCAAUUGGGAUUUAAACUACCAACCCUCCAUAUACACGAAUUAGGCUGGCGAUAGAGGGUAGUUUCCUAAACUUUGGGCCAAUCGUCCAAUUUAGGGCCUACAAUAAACUUUUAAUCGCAUUGUGUGCUCCAAAAGCAGAGAAGGGCCUCAAUGGAAGAAUGUGGUUUUGGUUUAUAAGCAUUUUGUCGACCUACACACUCAACCCUCAAAAUUUAUUAACCCUAAACAAGGGGGAAAAGAGGUAAUUUAAUGCUCAUUAAAUUUCUUCUCUUUCCUUCUUUCUUCCAUUCCUAAAGUGUAUACCAAAUAUUAGCCACUCCAAAGAGUUGAAGAUACCUGUAUGCUCCUGCGCUUCACUUCCUUUGAGAUAUUCUUUUGAGUACCCAAAAUUUGGGCACCAUAGGUGACAUUUGUCCAUUUGGCCAAAUUUCAACAUUUCUAUUCAAUAAAAGUGUCUAUUAGUGCUUAUAACCCUAAGUCCUAGGAUAUUUGUUUCAAUUGUGGGUUAGAUAUAGCAAAUUUCUCUACCAUAAUCUUUAUUAGGGUCAGUCAGAUUACAAUAUUUUGCUUUGAGAUGAUUUAGCUAAUUAGUGUUGAAUCUUAGGAUAUUAGUACGAAAGUCGCUUAUAAACAUGUGAAAAUCAAUUAAGAAGAUUCAUAACAAUUGUUAUGAACUGGAUAUGGACAAUUCAAAUAAGAUUUUAUUCUCGAACAAGAAUCCAUUUUUUUAUUUAUUUCAUCCAAUUCAUGUCCGGAAUAGUUGAUGAUACACCUUACACCAUGAUUUUGAAUUAGAAGAAAAAUUUCAAAAAAUGACAAAUCUAUUCACUCUACCAAGAAUCGAGCCGAAUCUAGUGCAUCAUAACGGAUUUGCCUUUUCUAUUAACUCCUAUGUGUUGGAUAAAAAACAAUUCUUGAAUGAGGUAUUCAACUCCAAGGAUGAAUCGAAAAAGAAAUCUUUAUUGGUUCUACCUCUUAUUUUUUACAAAGAGAAUGAAUCUUUUUCUCAAAUCCUCUAUAACUCAAAAUUCUCUAUUUCUCUAGCCAGUUCCGCUCUACCUUUUUUUUCUUGAUGUAAAAUCAGACAUGUAUCCGACACAGUCUAGUUGGUUUGUGGUAAUUAUGAUGCUGGUGCUUGUCCUUUUCAAUGCCAGAUUUCUUUAGUUCAUCAGAUGACCAAACUUUGACGAUGCUAGCAUUAUGGAAAAAUUGUUCAAAACGUUCCUUAUAUUUUGUAAAAUAAUCGGUCAUAAGUCAAAUUCUAUAGUCAUGCUAAUAAGUUGCAAUUUAAAUAUGAAAUUUUUACUCGCCACCUUUAAGACCAUCAGUUAAAUUUCUUAUCUUGUGAAUAUUUUAAAAUUUGAAAGUGUCAAUCACUUAUUUCUUUUUUCAUACUUUUCCUUUGUUUAUUUUUCUGUCCAAAUUUAAUAUGAUAAAAACACUUGAUAAUGUUUAGGAUUAAUUAUCUUUUUUGUUUUCAAUUUUCGAGUAAAAGGGAAUGAACAUGAGUGAAAAACUAACAUUUUUUUAAAAUUCAUGUAUGUAUCUAUUUUAAUUUCACCUGAACAAUACAUUCAAGCGAAAUCAAAUAGAGAUAUAUUACGUGCUAUUCAUAUUGUUCAGGUGAAAUCAAAUAGAUAUUUACAUGACUUUAAAAAAAGUUAUUCGUACACAUCAUCAAUAAGGGAUGAAAAAAUUUAUUUUGCAAAAUACGAAGAAUGAAAAAUUCAUUUUGUGAAAUGUCAGGGACGAAAUAAUUCAUUUUGUAAAAUGUGAGGGACAAAACAAUUCAUUUUGUGAAAUGUGAGGGACAAAACAAUUUAUUUUGUAAAAUAUAACGGACUAUAGAUUGGAUUAUGUAAAUUUUGAUUUGCUAAUUUGCACUUCAAAGAUGAUCAUGUGCAAAGUACGUGGUGGAUUUCAACAAAAAACUAGUUAGAAAUCUAAAUAGGGGCUAAAUUUGAUCAAUGUAAAUUUGUAAGGGACGUAAAAGUACACUUUUAAAAGUAAAGGACGAAAAAAGUAAUUUUACAAAAUAUGAAGGACAUUUUCAAUGAUUUUCCCUUUUGAAAGAUUCAAAUAGAACAAACUUGAGGUUGUUAAGCUGUAGUUCUUUGCUAGACCAUUUGUCUUUAAGGCCCUUCUGCAUAGAACUGCAAAUACCAAUGGCCUAUAUCACGGCUAAUUGCUUAGAAUAUAUGUAAAAAAAAAAACAUCGCACAAAUGUAUCUCUGGCACACUCUAUUUCUCAUUCUAUGACUCAGCACGGCUGCAGAAUGCAUUGUCAGAAACUCUGCAAAAAUGUCAGUGGGUCAGCGGCUCACAAUUUUUUUUUAAAUUUGCCUGUCCCCAGCCGUGCUAACUGGGCACGGCUGCGGAUAGGCGGUCAAAAAAAAAAAGGGCCAGGGGCCUUUGUUUGUCAGCCUUUCUCAGGCUGAUUUCUCAGCCUUUCUGUACCCUAAAUAAAUUUCAUUACUUUAAUUUUCAAAAUAACUUGAUUAAACUAAAUUUUAACCAUAAUCUUAAAUAUACUUCAUUUCAUUAAUUUUUAAAAUAAAUACAUUAACCUAACCUCACUAUUCAUGUCCCCAGAUGCCUUUUGUAUUGUAAGUAUCCCAUUUGUUUUUUACUUCAAUUUUGUAUUAUUAUUAAACCAUUAUUAAAUGCAUAAUAGUUGUUAAUUAAAGAAGGAUUCAUGUAUUCCAAUAAACAGGAAUUAAUUAUUAUAAUUACUUUGGCUUGGUGUACGUAAUAAUACAACCAAUUCGGAUCAAUAUUUUUUCCGAAACAACAUUUUUGCAUCUUCCAAGAAUUUUCCAUUCUAUAUAUUUUUUUAACUACAUUUUUACAUUGCACGCAGCAUAUAUGAUAUUUUACAAAAGUCCACGACUACAGGAAUUCUUCAUCUAUAUCAAUCUCUUCCCCAAAAUUUUUUAUUGAUAUUUGUAGAUUAAAACUUUUUUCUUUUUUAUUGUUCUCAUCACUUGUCAUGACAAUUGAUCGUGAGUUAAAAUAUUUACAAUCGGAUAAACCUCUCGGAAUUUUGAUAACAAUUUCUAUUGAUUAAAUUCUAUUUUUGAUUAAAUAGUCCAACUUCUAUUUUUUAUAACAAUUAAAUUAUUGAAUAAAUAGUGUAUCUUGAAAGGCAAAGCUUUUGUCCCGUAGCACGACAAGGUCGUACUUCGAUUGACGGGCAGGUUUCUUAUAUUUACCUAAUUAAAGAACUUUAUGCAUGUAAAAACCAAUAAUUUUAAUUAAUUGUUCCCUCCAUUCUAUAUGAAUUAUAUUAUAGUAAUUCUCGGUGAUUAUAUAAAUUUUAUAUAUUUAAGAUUAUGGUUAAUUAGUUUAAUCAGGUUAUUUGAAAAUUAAUAGUAACAAAAUUUAUUUAGGAUAAGAAAGGCUGAGAAAGGCUGAGAAAUCAGCCUGAAAAGGCUGACAAACAAAGGCCCUGGCCUUUUUUUUUUUGGACCGCCCCCAUUGUCCCCAGCCGCUGCCCAGUUCAGCAUGGCCUGGGGACAGGCUAAUUUUAAAAAAAAAUUGUUGGGCCUGCUGCUCCCACUGGCAUUUUUGCAGAGUUUCUGACAAUUCAUUCAGCUGCUGUGCUGAGUCAGCACGGCAAUUAUAGAAUGAGAAAUAGAGUGUGUCAGAGAUACAUUUGUGCUAUGUUUUUUUUUUUUUUUUUACAUAUAUUCUAAGCAAUUAGCCCUAUAUCACUUGCAUCCAAUUAGUGACAGGAUUUUGAUGAAGAUGCAUUGUUCUCCUGUCAGAAUCUUGACAUCCAAUUCUGAAAUGUCUUCUCUUUCUCUCUUUCAUAUUCUCAGGAGUUCUUCAAGCAUUAACUCCAUUCCGGAAUGAAUCAUUGAACACUUAUUUAUCCUACCAAAAGGGAAAGGAAAAAAACAACUGGAAAUCAUAUUCCAUGGAAACCAUGAUAAAUUAUUGAACCGCAUUUGCAAAUAAAAUGUCAAAUAUUGUUGCUCGCAAAUAUAGAAGUAUAUGCAUUGAUCACGUGACCUGUCCCUCAAUUUCUUACAGUGUUUUCAAAAUUAGAUAUUACGUACACGCGAUGGCUUGCAACCUUUUUCAACAUAAUGAUGUGAGUAUUGAGAAGACAGAAUAACAAUUCUUAUUUACACCGAUUGGUAGUGGAGAAGUUUUUUGCACUUUUUAAGAAAUUGGUGUGUGUUUGGAGCACACAUUAUUUUUUUAAAUUUUUUUACUUGUAUCAUAAACACAUUAUUUAUUUAUUUUUUAUCUUACAAACAUCACAUCAAAUGAGUGUUAUAGUAUUUUUUUUCCCAAAAAUUAUCCUAAAUAAUCUUCUAUCCAAACACACAGAUUUCACCUAUCAGAGUUGCCAGUUAUAGUCGACUCUUUUUUUUUUGGGGCUUUUGGAUGUAGUCAUUACUCCAGUACUCCAGUUUUUAUUUUUAAAUCAUCGUGCAAUUGGGUGACAACUAUAUGUUUUAAAGGUAGAUUAUUGGUUGACGUUACUGAUCUAGUCAUUGUAUAAUUGACUUGAAUGACUUGAUCGACAGUGACUGGUAUAUUCCAAAAGGAAAAAAAAGAAAAAGAAAAAGAAUGAUCUAUAGGCACAAACCUAACUUUGAAGAUAAAUAUUUUAACUUUUCAAAAAUUGUAUUCGAAUGAAAAAUCAGAAAGUUUGAAGCCAUCUCUCACACCAUUUAGCUGCAUCUAUUUUGACUAUUUUCCACGAAAAUAUGGCUGGGAAUGUAUUGAGGGACCAGAAAAAUACGUUUUGAAUUUGUUAGGGACUAAAAUCUUUAUUUUGUAUGUAAGGAGCUAAAAUUUAACACCAGUAAAAUGUGAAGAAGAAUUGUUAUCAUUUACUCCAAAUUUUUUUCUUACUUAGAUAAUGCUUCAAACUUUUUCGUUUGAAAGCAUUUUGUUAAUAUUUGUAUUUCAAAACAUGAUGGUAAAUGAAAUAUCACCAAAAACAUAUGACUACAUUAUUCUGGUUAUACCAAAACACGUGGAUAUUCUAUAUUACAUUUCAAAAACUUGCUUCUGAGCACUAAAGUAGAUUAUUUAAAGUAGCAUAUUUAGUACCAAUAAGAAAACAUGCCUUUAGAGAAUUGGCAAUACAUAUCAACCUAAAUAGAAGUUAUUACUUCUUUAUCCUUUAUUGAGAUAAUUUAUUAUACUAUAAAGAGUGUGUUUUUUCUAUAUUCAACUUUGACUACUGUUAAAGCAUAUUAGAGUUUUAUGUAAUUAAUUUCUAUUAUAAUGUGAAAUAAGUCUUGUACAUAAGUUUGUAUUUUGAAAAAUAAUAAAGGGUAAAAAUGCCAGUAUAAUCAAUUUUGGGUGAAGCUGACUUUUCUAAAGUUUGACCAGUUUUCGUGACAGGUAAAGUAUGUAGCUUUAAAAUUGAGGAUGAUGAAGUGUGACUACCCCAAAUCAUCGAGGGAGCUAAGUGUGAUUAACCCUUUUAGAUUAUGUGGUUGAAUCCAUCAUUGAACUGUAAAUUUAUAUAUAUGGUGCUGUAUUAUGGCAUACAUUUGGUGUUUUAAUGUAUGCAUUUAUUGUUUAAGCACUUACAUUAAAUUACAAUUAGAUCUUGCAAUUGUAUUGGCUCUUGGUCUAGUUUCGUACUAAUAUGUUUCGUACUAAUAUUGUGGUCCAAAUUUUAAUGAUACCAUCUUAUGAUUAUGUUGUCUUAGUCUUUUUUUUUUUUUUUUCACAGUAACGAUAACAAUUCUAGAGGGAGGGGAGCCAAAAGAGGGAAUGAUAUGAUUAUGUUGUCUUAGUCAGUCGGUAGGUUCACGAUUAUGUUGUCUUAGUCGGUAGGUUCAUGUUUAAGAACACAUUAACCUAACAACUGGUUCAUGUGUAUGCAUUAAAGAUAAGCGUAUAUAAUAUAAACACGUUGUGGAGGCCUAUUGUGGAUUUGUCCACCUUGGCACCUUCUUGGGCAGGAGAGUGAGCCUUGCUGCCUGUUGGUGCUUUUGGGGGGCCUCUCCAGGAUUCGAACUCUCGACCUUGAGGUGCUUUUGGUGCUCUAAUUUUUUUUUUUAACGUUGAGAGCACUGCAAGUAACAAAUAGUAUAACUGAUUUAGCACAAAGCAAUGACCAUUUGGUCUUCUUUUAAUGUUUCUAGUUGACCCAUUGAUGAUACUAAAUUUUAGUUAUGAGUACUAUAGGCUUCAAGCCUGGAUUAGUGUGGAUGACCUCGCCUACUGAUAGAGCCAUUUCUUCGUAUGAUUUAUUGAUCUGGUCCAUUUGGGUGAAAUGCAGAAACAGACAAUAAUACUAAAGGCUUUUUCUAGGUGCUCUGUUCUAUAAGAUUUUGACAAAUGAGGCGUCCAUAAAUAUGAUUACUAGAAAUAAUUGUGUAAAGUGGGGUUGAUGGUUGAGAUUAUCCUUCUUUAACUUUUGGGUGGUUGAAAUCAAUAUUGAGAUACAAUUUGAAAUAUGUGAUUGAAAGCAUGGUUGAAGAGUAGCCACAUAUACAUGUGUUGCAUUAUCGUGCACGUUGAUUGUUUUAUGUACACAAUUCUUGUCUAAGCAUCUAUAUUAGGAAAGGACAAUCGAUCAAUUUCUAGUUUUAUCGUUUCCUAAUUGAUCAAUUUUGCAAUUUUAGAGCUGGACCACUAAUUUGACAAUUUAUUGACAGAUUACGUGUUCAAUUAUCUUGUUUUUAUUAGAAUUGAAAUGGCAAAAAGAUAAUAGAUGAAUAUAUAUAGAAAACCAAAACAAACACACACACACAUACACAGAGGGAGUGGCAAGGCCAUAAAAUUAUUCAUUUUGAUUUGAAGCAUCAUGUCAGACUCCUAAAAAGUCAUCUCCAAAUUAGAGUGCAAACACCACUUAAUUAUUCUGAUCCAAGUUUUAAUGAUACCAGCUCAAUUUUAAGUAGUCUCAAUAAGUUGAAAAACUCUCAUUCUGGCUUAUCUUUUUAAUUUUCCCCACCUCAAUUUUAUAUGUUUAUAUAUAUAAUGUGUCUGUCCGAGACUUCUAUAUUCAUAAAGAGAUCGAGUCCCAUGAAGGAAACUAACCAAAAUUUGUCUACAUCUGUAGGCAAUUAUCAUUCUCCACUAACCAAGAUUAGUGUUUUAGUGUUUCUUAAAGUGAAUGCUUGGCGGGGUCAGUGUCCAGCUCAAUUAUUUAUUAGAGUAAUAAAACACACUCAAGAGGGAAAGUUAUGCUAGUUGUAAAAUCUAAAAUCCUAUUUGCAAUUACGGGACAAUUCUAAGAGUAUGAUGAAAAAUAAAAAAGUUCCACAAAGGGGGUUACUUUGGUGUCCUAUUCCGACAAGGGAGGUAUUCGCAUUCUAUAAAUACGAUAUGUGCUAAGUUCACAUUUCUCAUAUGCGAGUUUAAGAGUUUAUGCUCUUUACCAAUUCCUUCACACGUAUCAACAACUUAGAGUUUAUAUUUAUCUCAUUAUUUGUUCAUCCUUUGUAAAACUCUUUUUCCUUUCUCUUGAUGUCAAAGAGUAAAUCAUGAUGAUUUCCUUUUCUUGUUUUUAUCUUUUUUGUCAAUAAUUCUAUAAAAUGCAGAUGUAAAAACAAAAACAAGCAACCAUAAUGUUUUCACAAAAAUAAAAUAACAAACAAAAAAAAAGAAAGGUGAGAGCUUACAUUCACAUUUUUUGUUUUUUUUUUUUUAAAGAAUUGUACAUGAGUUAUUCUCUUAACAAAAUGGAGUUUGUUUAGAAAAAUAAAGUUAAAAAAAUAAUAUCCUCCAUGAAGAAAAAUUUGAACGCCCAAAUUUCUUAUAAGAAAGCUUGGUAUGAUAGAAGAAGAGCUAUUGAGCUUGUUUAUGGCAUUUGGGGUACCAAUUUUGUUGAAUUACUGAAGUAUGUGGAACCAUUUGUGAUUUGUCCAAGUAAGUAAUAUUAGUGUUUAGUUAAUAUCUUCUUUAAACCUUACAUGAAUGCUAAAAUAAUGAUUUACUCUUGAUUACAUCAAUAAUCAUUCAGUAUGGUUUUAACGUGACAUUCAAGAUUAAUAGAUUUUUUUUGGCAAUCACUUAAUAACCUACAAAUUCAUCCUCCAUAAUUUUACAAAACAAAAAACAAAAUCCACACUCGCAUAAAAAAUAUAUGGCCUGCUUAAUUUUGCAAAAAAGAAAAGAAAAGAAACGCAUGAGCCUUGGAUUGAAAUAUAAAAGGCUCCCUUCCUCGCAUAUGUUAAAUGCGAGGUCCAUCACCCCGCACCUACAAAUGCGAGGUUACUUGACCUCGCACUUGCCAAAUGCGAGGUCUGAAGUAAUUCUUUUUUUUGUUUUUGUUUUGGUUGAUUGGAAAUUCAAUGGGACAUUGCAUUUCUCAAAUGCGAAGACCCCUUGGUGGAAGUUCAUACUUAAAACACCCUUUUUACAGAAAUUUUUUAAAAUUCAUCAUGAAAUUGGAAAUUUCUCAUUGAAUUUAUGCAAGUUAUGUUCUAAUACUUGAGCAUUUGAAGCAAUGUGGUAGGUAAAGCACGAGACUAGACAUACAAAACAGAUCAUAACAAGAGCCAAUGUGCACAUUCAUUGUAGCUUAAUCGGGGAAGUCCCAUGAAAAUGUGAGCUUCCUCUUUCGAAAAUUAUAUCAGAAAAUUGCCUCGAUAGUUAUUGAACUUUUUCAAAGGGUUCAUAUUAUCAAGACAUGGACUGUAGUUCCUAAUUCUAGGGAUGGUAAUGUGUAAGGAAAAACUCGAUAUCCGUAGGUACAUGACCCAAUAGUUAAUUUGAUUAGACAACUGAUAGGUUAUUCGUUAAGAUUUAGUAUUGAUGAGAGUUUAUCGACGAAUAACCCGAGAGGGCUUGGUGAAUAUAUAUAUAUAUAUAUAUAUAUAUAUAUAUAUAUAUAUAUAUAUAUAUUCUCGGAUCUCAAUUUUCUAGUGCAAUAGCGCAUAACUCAUUAAUUCUAAACCAACUAGUUACACAACCCACAAUCCUCUUAUCCUCUUUAAUUUGUAUUUUUAUUCUCUAUAUUUGUCUUGUGAAGUGUUAUUUGUCAUGUUUAAUAUAAAACUCAUUGUUUGGAAAUGACCUUGAGAACAGUUGUCUAAAUCUUCUUUUGGAUUUUCCUGAAAUUGCUAAUAGCUAGAGGCAUGAUUUAACUAAAAUUCUCAAAUAGAGACAAUUGUAAUUAAAAAUGCAAGAAUAUCGAUUUAAUUCUUCAUUUUUUCAUAUGCAGGUUCUAUUGCUCAACCCAAACUUAAAACUCAAGUAGUUCGUUGAUUUACGAUGGUGUAUAAAUUAAUUUUAGUUCGAUAAAAGUUAGUUUGAUACAGUAUCAAUCCUUGCCACGAUAAAAAAAACACAGAAAACCCAUUGACAACCAAUUUUAUACCCCCAAAUUAAAUAUCAAUGCUCAAUUACCUUGUCAAUAUAAAAUAAUUUGAUCUAGAACCACCAUUACAACUGUCCUAUGAUCUUAAAAAUAUUAAUAUCUCAAAAGUAGAUAACAAAUUCUACCUCCACAAUAAAAUCAUAAUAAAAAAUUUCUAAUCCAAUGAAAGAAAUCAUUAUGUAAUUAUUGAUAUUUUAUAAAAAUUUUCUUAACAACAAACAAAGUAUGAUAAAUUCCACAUCUUAAGUUCUUCUUCCUAUUUCAAUCAUCAAUUUCAUUAUUUAUUUCUCUAUCAUGCGAGUCUCUUCAUUUCCUUCUAGUUUGACGCAUAAUCUACUCCCUUUAUAGAUUUUGUAAUUUUAAUUUGCUAAUAUCUACAAAAUUGAAGAUAAUAAAAAGAGAUUAUAUUAACUAGAAAAUAGACAAGAGACAAAAAAAUUGAUUUUUUUUAAGAUUUUGUAAAUUUAUUACCUUAAAUUUAAAAUUGUCUAUUAAGUAGAGGACAUUGUAGGUAUUUUACUAUGUCAAGGGAAGUAAGUGUAAUUUCUUAAACCUGAGGGGAGCCGAGUGGAAUUGUCAGGAACCUCAAGGAAGGUUUCUGAAAUUAUCCCUUAAGUAAAUCUGCACAACCAUUGGGGGGAGGACAGAGGCACAAGGAGCAUAUCAGCUUAUUUUAAAAGAUAAGAUUUCGAAUGAUCUCUUUUUUUUCCUUCUUUUUCUCAGUAUUCUUUCGACUAGAGUACAAUUUUCCAGAUUUUAGCUGUACCUCUUUAGGUAAAAAUCUUAAAGUUCGUUCGUAUAUGAUAAAUUGACAACGUUUUUUGUAUCAAUUUGAGAUUAAUGGCUGAUAUUGUCCAAUUCUAUGACAUCAGCCGAUGCAUUUAAUAACGUAGGUAACUUAUGUAACGUAUGCAAUUCAAAACUGUUCAUUCCUUGUGUGUAUCUCAACUUCGCACAAAGAAAUAAUUUUUAGCCACUUUUUUUUAAAGUAUUAAAAUAAUAUCUCUGUCAACAUCCAGGGUGCCAAAUGACCAUUAUAAGUAGGAUAUGAGCACAUUAAGCAAAACCCACAGAUCGAAGCAAAUCAAAGCAAGGAAAAUCAGCUUAAUUAGCUUUGUUUCAUCAAAAGAAAGUCGGUCACGAAAGCGAAAGGGCGAUGGAAGUAAUUGAAGUUCUUCACAUGAAUGGAGGGAAUGGAGAUAAAAGUUAUGCAAACAACUCAUUGGUUCCGGUUGUCUACUUAUCCUUAAUAAAUUAUGCUCUCUUUUUACCUCUAACUUAAUUUUCUUCUUCUCUAUAUAGUUAAUAUAAUCCUUGAACAAUAUAUUUUGUUCUUGGGAUUACUUCCUAACUUCAAAAUUUGCACCAACCUUUAAUCUUGAUACAAUCUUUGCAUGCAUUUUUUUUUUUCCAUUUUUUUGGUGGGUUAUAAGGAAAAAUACAACAAUUUGAUUAGUAUUCAUUUACCUUCAAUUUGGACCAUGCAGCAAAAGGUGAUACUGAUGACCAGGCCAAUAACAGAAGCGGCCAUAAGUGAUCUCUACUGCAGCCUCAUCCCCAAAAGCAUAUGCAUUGCGGACUUGGGAUGUUCAUCUGGACCUAACACUUUUCUGGCUGUUUCUGGGCUCAUCAAAACUGUCGACAAGAAACGCAAAAUUUUAGGCCAUAAAUCUCCAGAAUAUCAGAUAUAUUUGAAUGAUCUUCCUAGCAAUGAUUUCAACACCAUUUUCAAGUCUGUGCCACGGUUUCAAGAAAAACUGAAGAUGCAGAUGGAAUCAGGGUUUGGACCAUGUUUUUUCGCUGGAGUUCCUGGUUCAUUCUACCAAAGGCUUUUCCCCACCAAAACUGUUCAUUUUGUUCACUCAUCUUAUAGUCUUCAAUGGCUGUCCCAAGCAUGUUUUCUCCAUCUUUCUUUCUUUUCUUUUUUUUUUGGUUGGUUUCAAGUUUACAAUUUUUUUUUUAAAUUGAACUUAAGUAAUGUUGGUUUUACUCCUUAG